GCCCCAGAGAAACUCCGGGAUCUUUAACCGGCUGUGUGAGAUGCACUUGGAGACAGAGUCUGAUGGUGAGGGAGAUUUCCUGGCAGCUUUCGCCAACUACAACCCAGGUAUUGAAGGGGACAGUUCAGAAGAGGACUCAGAUGAGUGUAGUUGUGCCAAUGGUCGCUGUGUGCGUUCCUACUUGGGCACUAUGUGUGAGUGCAACACAGGCUUUAGGCUGGACCACUCCCGCACC
Coregonus clupeaformis (lake whitefish) is the source of this 235-nucleotide long non-coding RNA. RefSeq lists it as uncharacterized. Lineage: Eukaryota; Metazoa; Chordata; Actinopteri; Salmoniformes; Salmonidae. The transcript has 3 exons. The record is from RefSeq and is a predicted model, not a curated record.